GUAGAGACAAGGGUAGUUUAGGGAUAGGAGUAGAGACAGGAGGCGCAGCAGUAGCAGAGACAGGAGUAGCAGAGAUAGAUCCAGCAGGGUUAAAGAGGAAGAUAGGAGCAGAAGCAGGAGUAGGGAGCGGGGAGGACGAUACUAGAACUGUUGAUUACUAGAAAAUUAGCUGAUUACUAGAUCAACUGCUGAGUAAUAGAACCUCAACUAAUUAGUAGAACAAUUCAGCUGAUUACUAGAUCAAUUGCUGAUUAAUAGAACAUCAACUAAUUAGUAGAACAAUGCAGCUGAUUACUAGAUCAACUGCUGAUUAAUAGAACAUCAAAUAAUUAGUAGAACAAUUCAGCUGAUUCUUUUAUUCAGCUGAUUACAAGUACUAUUCAGCUGAUUAAUACAUUUACUUUUUUAUUUGUUCUUGAUAAAUGCGGAAAAACAUUUUAAAAAUUCCUACGGGGGGAGGGGGGGGGGGUUACCAUUUAUCGUGUGACUUUUGAUGUUUAAAUAAUGUACUCUCAACCUUUCUUAAAAUAAACACUGAUUGAUAUAUUUUUAUUUUCAAAGUUAAGUCUAGCUUCGAAAUUUUUGCACCGAAAUUGUGAGGUUAAAAUUUCUUUUUCUCCUGAAACGAUUUUUUGUUUGAUUUUUCGAAUUAUCAGGAUCUAAGCUAAAUUCGAGAAAAAGUUUAUAUAUUUAAUGUUCGAUAUUGCAAAUGCAAAUAAAGUAAUUUAUAAAACCAAUAUAAAGACUUAUUAUGAAAUAAGUAAUUGUUUGAUUUAUUCGUUCCGUCUUCAACCUAGUCCAUUUUAUAUAUUAUCUAUUCAUAAUAUUUUAGUUUUUGAACAAAGCUUAAAUAACUGUUGCCCAUUUCCACAGAUUUGAACCUCUUCCCAUAUUAAUUUUAUUAAACCAACUGUAACACUGUCCAGCUAGUCCAACGUAACAUAAAAUCUACAAUUCUAACAAUUAACGAUUUAUCAUAGUCAUGUGAUUAAAAAUCCGUAAUUAGAAAAUCCCGGCCUCAUUUGCAGCAUUAAUUCAAGUGUACAACGUCGUUAUAAAAAUUGGUCUGGUAGAUAGCAGAAAGAACAACUUUAUUAUAAAUAUAGUGUCCCAACAUAUUCUAGAUCGUUUAUAGCUUUAAAUUAAGAUUUAAAAGAAAGUCAGAAAAUAAAGAAUAAAUUAAUCAUUUCA
Molecule: long non-coding RNA, 1191 nt
Organism: Eurytemora carolleeae
Lineage: Eukaryota; Metazoa; Arthropoda; Copepoda; Calanoida; Temoridae
Exons: 2
Source: RefSeq, a predicted model, not a curated record